This 27-nucleotide ribosomal RNA is filed under the name Erica platycodon subsp. platycodon. RNAcentral describes it as "partial 28S ribosomal RNA". The record is from RNAcentral. Lineage: Eukaryota; Viridiplantae; Streptophyta; Magnoliopsida; Ericales; Ericaceae.
AACUGCGACCCCAGGUCAGGCGGGAUU